AGAACGAACGCUGGCGGCAUGCCUAACACAUGCAAGUCGAACGAGACCUUCGGGUCUAGUGGCGCACGGGUGCGUAACGCGUGGGAAUCUGCCCUUGGGUACGGAAUAACAGCUAGAAAUGACUGCUAAUACCGUAUAAUGACUUCGGUCCAAAGAUUUAUCGCCCAGGGAUGAGCCCGCGUAGGAUUAGCUUGUUGGUGAGGUAAAAGCUCACCAAGGCGACGAUCCUUAGCUGGUCUGAGAGGAUGAUCAGCCACACUGGGACUGAGACACGGCCCAGACUCCUACGGGAGGCAGCAGUGGGGAAUAUUGGACAAUGGGCGAAAGCCUGAUCCAGCAAUGCCGCGUGAGUGAUGAAGGCCUUAGGGUUGUAAAGCUCUUUACCCGGGAUGAUAAUGACAGUACCGGGAGAAUAAGCUCCGGCUAACUCCGUGCCAGCAGCCGC
This 445-nucleotide ribosomal RNA is filed under the name uncultured bacterium. RNAcentral's name for it is "SSU rRNA". It matches the Rfam family "Bacterial small subunit ribosomal RNA", at positions 26 to 518 of the family's 1533-position model. The record is from RNAcentral.